AGAACGAACGCUGGCGGCAUGCCUAAUACAUGCAAGUCGAACGAACUCUUCGGAGUUAGUGGCGCACGGGUGCGUAACGCGUGGGAAUCUGCCCCUUGGUUCGGAAUAACAGUUGGAAACGACUGCUAAUACCGGAUGAUGACGAAAGUCCAAAGAUUUAUCGCCAAGGGAUGAGCCCGCGUAGGAUUAGCUAGUUGGUGAGGUAAAGGCUCACCAAGGCAACGAUCCUUAGCUGGUCUGAGAGGAUGAUCAGCCACACUGGGACUGAGACACGGCCCAGACUCCUACGGGAGGCAGCAGUAGGGAAUAUUGGACAAUGGGCGAAAGCCUGAUCCAGCAAUGCCGCGUGAGUGAUGAAGGCCUUAGGGUUGUAAAGCUCUUUUACCCGAGAUGAUAAUGAACAGUAGUCGGAGAAUAAGCCCGGACUAACCUCCGCGCCAGCAGCCCGC
This 449-nucleotide ribosomal RNA is filed under the name uncultured soil bacterium. Its description in RNAcentral is "bacterial SSU rRNA". It matches the Rfam family "Bacterial small subunit ribosomal RNA", at positions 26 to 518 of the family's 1533-position model. The record is from RNAcentral.